Molecule: long non-coding RNA, 586 nt
Organism: Sander lucioperca (pikeperch)
Lineage: Eukaryota; Metazoa; Chordata; Actinopteri; Perciformes; Percidae
Exons: 2
Source: RefSeq, a predicted model, not a curated record
AGUUUAAAUUUGUCAGUGUGUCUGCUCCUCACUUUCCCUCUCUGUCUCCUCGACAGGAACAUUUGUAGUGAAUGUGACCCAGACCUCCUAUCAGGCAGAGGAGAACCACGACAUCACACUGGAGUGGACCUUCACAACCAGCACUCACAGUUCCUCCAACUCUCUUAAAAUCUUCUGUGAACUGUUAACUGAUCUCAGACCCUCAAUCCUGUUUCAUCUCCAUGAAGGAGUUGAGGUCCCAGAGUCUCAGGAUGAACAGUUUGCAGGACGAGUCCAGUGGGACAAAGAUGACCUCAGAGAAGGACGACUCAGGACUGAGGACUCGGGACUGUAUGUGUGUCGAGUAAUCACAAGUUAUGAGAGUAACUCUGGUAGACGUUGGCUCAAUGUCACUGCAGCUGCUGAUGAGCCCAAACCUCAGAGACCAACAGUGAGACCAGAACCAGAGAGUCUGGGAAACAUCUGGAUCCUCUACGCUGGACUGGCAGCAGCAGCAGCAGCAGCAGCAGCAGCAGCAGUUCUACUGAUUCUCUACCCCAAAUGCCACUUUGUCUUCCAUCCUUGUUUUACUAAAUCUACUGAUAAU